AUGUGGGGCAGGAUGACUAGAAUGGGCUUCAGUUGGGUAUUUCCCUUUCCCUAAGUCAGUUAGGUUCUGAUAAAACCCCAGCAGAUAAGGCUCUAGUUACACAGUUACACCUGUGGGCAGACGUUAAGAAGAACAGUGCUGAGAUAUUUCAAAAUGGUUCCUUUUCCUCUCUCCCUGCUGGAAGCUUGAGGAUUUUUCUCCUAUAUUUACUGUGAGAAUCUGGCUGAGCUCCUGGAGGUGAAACUCACAGUAGUGUGGUGGGCCCACCUAUGACUGGAUACUCUUGGAGUUUUUAAUUCUUGGACUUGUCCACAGUGAACCUCCAGCAAUUUGUCAGUUACAGUUGAAGUUUUCCUCUCCCGGGACCCGUUCUGGAGGAGGUUUCAGCUCUUGAGUUUUGCUUGGCCUAUGCUGAGCAAGGAACUAUUAUUAGUGUUGGUGAUACCAAAAUUUGAAGACAAAAUUGCCUGUCACUGUGGAGCUUCCAGAACCUGGUGGAGCUCCUGGAGGUAAACCUCACAAUAUUUUGGGGACUCUCCUAUGACUGAAUUCCCCUGGUGUCUUUAAUUUCUGACUUAUCCACACUGAGCCUUCAGCAAUUCAUCAAAUACACUUCAGGAUUUCCUACCCAGCACUGAUCCUGGCGUAGUUUCUGCGGGAAGAACACAUCACUCUGGAAACCAAAGGGUGGAAGCAGAAGCAGCCCCACUUCCCAAACUCCCAACGACUCACUGCAGAAUUUUGUCCUUCCUGUCCCUGUUCUUCUUGGUUCUGCAAGGUUGGAGGUCCUGGGUCCUACUCUUGCCAGGGGCCACAGAAAUGGUCCCAUUGGGAAUAAGCUAUGGAUGCCACCAGAGAAAUUUUGACUCUUUGUGUUCAGAGACCAGCAGGCAAGAGGAAGAGUCAACAUCUUGACAAGGUCAUUGACUCUGAUCGUCAAGACAAGACUUUUGGAAACACUUGGAGAGUUUCAAAAGCUCAUAGCAAGGUCUCGCCCCCCAACUAUCAAUCAUUGAGGAGCUUGGGUGGAGAGCUGCUCAUGAGUGUGUUAAAUGAUGAUUUUUUGGGUGCUGUAUCUGGCGAUGUCUUCUCUGAACUUUCUCAUGGUCAUGGUAUCAUCAUACAAUUAAAGAAACAGAGUGGGAAAAAUCCUUCACUUUCAGACCACUAGUAAAAAGUCACAGAGAUCUGAAAGGGAAUAUUGCCUGCAGAAAAUUGUGACCUGCUCUAUCCCACUUACACUAAAACAGUUCCAGCUCAGCAUGAUGGACACUCCACUCCAGGCAGCUGUGGCCAAGAAGAGGAGCCUUCUUCUCUCUCCUGCUCCUACUCAAGAGGCAGGCAGCUUAACAGAGAGAUCAGAGACAGCAGCUGAAUGAGAGCCUUGGUGAGAUGACUGUCACCACAUGGUGACUGUGGGUGACCCACUGCUGAUAUUUCUGAGGAGCAACAUCAUAGCCUUCCAAGUUCGGGGAAAAGACUUUACUAAAACAGUCAAGCUGAGUCACCAAACAAAUAAAUAAGCCAACAACUACAGCAACCUUGACAAGCCCCAGAAAAGGACAGUGGAAUGAGCAUUCAGAGUUGCUAAAUCAUAUCAUCCAAAAUGUCUAGUUUUCAACAAAACGUUAUGAGAAAUGAAAAAUAAAAAGUGUGAGCCAUCAAAGGGAAAAAAGCAGGCAACAGAAAUUGUGUGCAAGAAAAACCAAGACGUUAGAUUUAAAAAGUGUUCAACAAAGUGUUCAAAGUAGCUGUUAUGAAUAUCUUCAAAGAACCUAUGAAACUAUGCUUAAAGAAAUUAAAAAAAGAUAUGAUUGCAAUCUGUCAAGUAAAGAAUAUUACCGAAGAAAUAGAAAUUAUAAAAAAGAAUAAAAUACUGCU
Molecule: long non-coding RNA, 1881 nt
Organism: Equus caballus (horse)
Lineage: Eukaryota; Metazoa; Chordata; Mammalia; Perissodactyla; Equidae
Source: Ensembl